AUUGAACGCUGGCGGAAUGCUUUACACAUGCAAGUCGAACGGUAGAGGGGGCAACCCCUUCGAGAGUGGCGAACGGGUGAGUAAUAUAUCGGAACGUGCCCAGUCGUGGGGAUAACGUAGCGAAAGUUACGCUAAUACCGCAUACGAUCUAAGGAUGAAAGCGGGGGAGUCGCAAGACCUCGCGCGAUUGGAGCGGCCGAUAUCAGAUUAGGUAGUUGGUGAGGUAAAGGCUCACCAAGCCAACGAUCUGUAGCUGGUCUGAGAGGACGACCAGCCACACUGGAACUGAGACACGGUCCAGACUCCUACGGGAGGCAGCAGUGGGGAAUUUUGGACAAUGGACGCAAGUCUGAUCCAGCCAUUCCGCGUGCAGGAUGAAGGCCCUCGGUUGUAAACUGCUUUUGUACGGAACGAAACGGUGAGCUCUAAUACAGUUUGCUAAUGACGGUACCGUAAGAAUAAGCACCGGCUAACUACGUGCCAGCAGCCGCGGU
Molecule: ribosomal RNA, 494 nt
Filed under: uncultured bacterium
Lineage: Bacteria
Description: bacterial SSU rRNA
Rfam family: Bacterial small subunit ribosomal RNA
Source: RNAcentral